AAGAGAGGUCUAGGACAAAAAGAACUGCUAAUUCUUUCAUCCACAGUUAAAAUCCGUGGCUCACUUA
This 67-nucleotide transfer RNA is filed under the name Narcine timlei (blackspotted numbfish). RNAcentral's name for it is "tRNA-Ser". Lineage: Eukaryota; Metazoa; Chordata; Chondrichthyes; Torpediniformes; Narcinidae. The record is from RNAcentral.